Molecule: ribosomal RNA, 374 nt
Filed under: Gekko scabridus
Lineage: Eukaryota; Metazoa; Chordata; Lepidosauria; Squamata; Gekkonidae
Description: partial 12S ribosomal RNA
Rfam family: Bacterial small subunit ribosomal RNA
Source: RNAcentral
UUAACCCAGACAGCACUCAAUACCAAGCUGCCCGCCAGAGAAUUGCAUGCAUCCUAGCCCAAAACUCAAAGGACUUGACGGUGUCCCAUACCGACCUAGAGGAGCCUGUCCUAUAAUCGAUAAUCCACGAUACACCUUACCCCCCAUUGCAAUAAACCUUGUUUUCAGCCUAUAUACCGCCGUCGCCAGCUUACCCUAUGAAAGCCAAACCACAGUAAGCAAAAUAGCUAACCGCUAAAACGUCAGGUCAAGGUGUAGCUAACUGAGGGGCAGUGAUGGGCUACAUUUUCUAAUAAAGAAAUCCCUCCAGCAAUAUGAAAUAAAGCCCUAAGACGGAUUUAGCAGUAAAUUAGAGUAAGCAUACCCAAUGAUCG